This 72-nucleotide transfer RNA is filed under the name Phycis blennoides. Its description in RNAcentral is "tRNA-Thr". It matches the Rfam family "tRNA". From Rfam's summary of the family: Transfer RNA (tRNA) molecules are approximately 80 nucleotides in length. Their secondary structure includes four short double-helical elements and three loops (D, anti-codon, and T loops). The record is from RNAcentral. Lineage: Eukaryota; Metazoa; Chordata; Actinopteri; Gadiformes; Phycidae.
GCCCUAGUAGCUCAACGCAUAGAGCGUCGGCCUUGUAAGCCGGAUGUGGAGGCUAAACUCCUCCCUAGCGCU